GAAAAGAAGAAAAGAAAAGAGGAUCUGCACAAAACGAUCCUUUCAGAAAUGCCAGAAGCGAUUGAAUUACGCAUGCCAGAACUCAAAUCGGAGUCUAGCGAAUUUGAAUUGGACUCUAUCGAAGAUGAAUUGGACUAUUUCGAAGAUGAUUUUGAGACGCUUUUUGCAAAAGGUAAGAAAUUAACUGUAUCCUUGUAGUAGCAUCAAGUUGUUUUAGCAAUUAUCCUGAUUUUGUCAUAGAUGAUAAUUAUUGUUCUCAUAUGAAUGUUUUACCUGUUGAUUAUGAUAUUGACCCAGUUAUGAAUCGUUAUUCACAAGACAAAUGCCGUGUAAAUAGCUAUGGCUUAACAUUGUUAGAUAUUUGUAAACAUACUGGCCUAAGAAUUCUGAAUUCGAGGUUUGGCAAAGAUAAAUACAUAGGUCGCAACACAUUUGUUGGAAGUAGAGGUAGUAGUUUAGUUGAUUACGUAAUAAGUACACAAAAUUUGUUUCAAUAUAUUGA
Ruditapes philippinarum (Manila clam) is the source of this 502-nucleotide long non-coding RNA. RefSeq lists it as uncharacterized. Lineage: Eukaryota; Metazoa; Mollusca; Bivalvia; Venerida; Veneridae. The transcript has 5 exons. The record is from RefSeq and is a predicted model, not a curated record.